UACGUAUGGUGCGAGCGUUGCCCGGAUUUACUGGGCGUGAAGGGGGCGCAGGCGGCGCGCCAAGCCCGAUGUGAAAGCCCGGGGCUCAACCCCGGGACUGCAUUGGGAACUGGCGUGCUGGAGUGCCGGAGGGGCAGGCGGAAUUCCUGGUGUAGCGGUGAAAUGCGUAGAUAUCAGGAGGAACACCGGUGGCGAAGGCGGCCUGCUGGACGGAUACUGACGCUGAGGCCCGAAAGCGUGGGGAGCGAACAGG
Molecule: ribosomal RNA, 253 nt
Filed under: uncultured bacterium
Lineage: Bacteria
Description: partial 16S ribosomal RNA
Rfam family: Bacterial small subunit ribosomal RNA
Source: RNAcentral